ACGGAGGGGGCUAGCGUUGUUCGGAAUUACUGGGCGUAAAGCGCGCGUAGGCGGCUUUGUAGGUUAGAGGUGAAAGCCUGGAGCUCAACUCCAGAACUGCCUUUAAGACUGCAUCGCUAGAAUUGUGGAGAGGUGAGUGGAAUUCCGAGUGUAGAGGUGAAAUUCGUAGAUAUUCGGAAGAACACCAGUGGCGAAGGCGACUCACUGGACACAUAUUGACGCUGAGGUGCGAAAGCGUGGGGAGCAAACAGGA
RNAcentral lists this ribosomal RNA (253 nucleotides) under uncultured prokaryote. RNAcentral's name for it is "partial 16S ribosomal RNA". It matches the Rfam family "Bacterial small subunit ribosomal RNA", at positions 525 to 777 of the family's 1533-position model. The record is from RNAcentral.